CCGCACCUCAGCUUCGGGUAGUAGUUGUAGCUACCAGCCGAAACUGAAAUGCGACG
Molecule: non-coding RNA, 56 nt
Filed under: Spodoptera frugiperda (fall armyworm)
Lineage: Eukaryota; Metazoa; Arthropoda; Insecta; Lepidoptera; Noctuidae
Source: RNAcentral